This 407-nucleotide long non-coding RNA is filed under the name Brassica napus (rape). Its description in RNAcentral is "long non-coding RNA (BNAP_LNC021741)". Lineage: Eukaryota; Viridiplantae; Streptophyta; Magnoliopsida; Brassicales; Brassicaceae. The record is from RNAcentral.
GUGUAGUGGGAGAAAUGCAGUUCACCCGCAAGUGCAGUUCUCCUGCUUUAAAGUUACCAUUUGUGGUUUUGUUUUUUUAUAAAGUACAUAGCAGGAGAUCUACACGCAGAUCAAUAUUUUUUAUCUUUUUGUGAGAAAAAGCAGGAGAUCUACAUGCAGAUUUCACCACCAUACAUUUGAUGCAGUUCAUCUGCUUUUAUAUUUUCUUAACCAAUCAAUGAUUUUUUUCAUAAAUAAUUAAAUUUAAAAUAUAUCUAAACUUCUUCUAUAAAUAUUAUAUUUUCAUUUUAGUUACUCACAAUUUUAAUAAUACAAAAACUAUCGUUAUCUAUUUAGAUUUUUCAUCAUAUCUAUUUUAAAUUAUCAUAUUUAUAUAAUAUAUGUGGUUUCAGUUAUAAUAUGCAUUA